Molecule: long non-coding RNA, 877 nt
Organism: Pimephales promelas (fathead minnow)
Lineage: Eukaryota; Metazoa; Chordata; Actinopteri; Cypriniformes; Leuciscidae
Source: RefSeq, a predicted model, not a curated record
CGGAGACACGCAGGAGCCGCCGUUGAGACAGCGUCCGUCGCAGAGCGCUGAGGGUCAAAGAGAGAGGACACACACAGAUGACAUCACAGCUUAGAAAAAUGUGUACUCAAAACGUUCUGCAAACUUUCCUGUGGUAAAAAAGCGCAAGCUGAAGAUGGCAGAAAUUGCAGACGUGACUCUUUCCUUCUGCCCUCUAACUGACCUUGAGUGGACACUGAGAUCUGUAUCCAUGGGGGAUUCUGGGAUACAUUCAUCUCUGAGACCGGCUGAGAUUUCAUAAAACCCUCCAGCAAACCCACUCCCGGCAGAAAUAAACACAAAUGAGGGAAUAACUACAGACCGCGUGCAUGUGACUCAGGAAGAAAACAGUGGCAGUGGCUGGUUUCCCAACACAAGUCCAGACAUUUGGAAAGCACAAGCAUGUGUCUCUGCUCUCUGACUAAACAAACCAUUUUCAAGCAACAGCGUCGAGGGGUCUCGUAUCUCUGCACACACAGAGACUGUGAUUACAGUAAGUCGACGUGAGGCUGACAAACGCUUGACUGUGACCAGAGAAAUCAUUCCAGCAGGGAGUCAACUUAAUCACACCACCUGAUGGAUUCUGGGAAUGUCGGGCUCUUGUAGCUCACAGACAUUUUAAUAUCGAUCCGUGCAAUUGAAUGUAAUCCAUCUGUACUCUCAUAUUCAUCUCUGGGGGGCAUGCGAGGAAUUAAACGCUGAAAGUGUUCAUCAGUUUUGGUGAGAAUACAGAGAGGUGCUUUGGGACGCUCUCUACCGCAGUCGAUCAAUAAUUCCACAGAGGAGAGAAAUACAAUGCGUGCGGCUCUAUAAACGCUGUUUUUAUUUUCAGAGACUGUUUAAAACCUUGAAGGACAUG